This 3079-nucleotide long non-coding RNA is filed under the name Homo sapiens (human). RNAcentral describes it as "HSALNT0202778". The record is from RNAcentral. Lineage: Eukaryota; Metazoa; Chordata; Mammalia; Primates; Hominidae.
UGGUAAUGUCACAAAAUUUAAAAAUUGUAGCUUUAUUAAAACAGUAUGAAAUAUCAUAGCACAGAACUAGUAGAAACCGUCAUGUAUUAGACAUUAACACACAAUAAAGAGAGCACUAAAAAUCAUCAAGAGAUUUCUGCUCCCAGAAAAAGAUGGCGUUGACAUACCUUUAUUAUUCCUCCUACUAAAUAAAACUUAAAAACUUGGACACUAUAUAUUAAACAAACAUACAGGGACUUUGAAAGAGUGGGAGAAAAGGGUAGCUCAGCCAGGUACCUUGUGACCCAAAGAACAACAUUGCAGUGAGUCCCCUGGGUUUUAUUUUUGCGUCAUAUAUCCCACACUUAGAGAUAAAGAAGCUGUCAACUCAGAAAUACAACUGGCUAAAGACAAAAAAAAAAAAAGGCAACCAAAACAUAUUCUCUUUAGACAAAGGAUGAAAAAGAAGAAGCUUAGCAAGACAGAAAAUAUUUAGAUAAUAAGGGCUCUAUUUCAACAAACAAAAGAAAAAAAUAUGGCCCUACUCAUGCCAACAAGGCCCGGUGGAGAGCCUAGACAUCCCCCCUCACCUGGCUAUAAAGAGACAUUACAUUUUCACCCUUACAGGAUGGUGUUAGCAAAGGCUGGGUACAAAGCCAGGACACUUAUCCCAACUAACUUCCCCUUUUCCUUCUCUCACAGUAUCAGUAGAGACCACAUGGGAAACAGGGACUUCUUUCUACUCCCACCUGGCAAAAACAAGGGUCCCUUAAGCUCCCCACUCUAGCAUUGUCACAGGACACUUAGUGAUCUUUUAUUACCUCCUAGCAAUAAAGGGACAUACACCCCAUGUGGGGAGCAGUAAUGAGGCACACGUAUCCCUCCUAGUUGAGAAGGUAACGUUGGAGACCUAGUGAAGAGCUGGAACUCCCACCCCCACCCGGCAGUAAUGAGCAGUCCUCCUCCACCAGCCAUCAGGUAUGAAUAGAAACCAGAGGUGGAACCUGGACUUUUACCCAUACCUGGGAGUAACGGGAGGGUAAGUUGCCUGUUCCACUGACAGAUCAUAGUUAAAGAAAGAAAGGAAAAAAGAGGUUUAACUAGAUCCAGUGUUUCAUAAUAUAUAACACUUAAAAUGCCCAGGUUUCAAUUGAAAGUCGCUCAUUAUAUCAAGAAGCAGGAAGAUCUCAAACUGAAGGAAAGAAUGUAACCAAUAAAUGUUAAUACUAAGGCGACAGAGCUGUUAGAAUGAUCUAGCAAAGAUUUUAAAAUAUCCAUAAAAAUUACUCAAUGAGCAAUUACAAGCAUGCUUGAAAUGAAUAAAAAAUAUAAAGUCUAAGCUAAUACAUACAUACAUACAUACAUACGCAACACUUUGGGAGACCAAGGCGGGAGGAUCACUUGAGCCCAGGAGUUUAAGACCAGCCUGGGCAACAUAACAAACCCCCGAUCCAUGAAAAAAAUUUUUGAACAGUUAAGCAAAGUGAUGCUGCCUAUAAUCCCAACUACUCAGCAGACUGAGGCAGGAGGCUCACCUGAGCCCAGAGUUCCCGGCUGCAGUGAGCCGAAAUUGCACCAUAGCAUUCCAUCCUGGGCUACAGAGUGAGACCCUGCUUCUAAAAGUAAAAAUAAAAAUAAAAAACAUUUUACCUAGUAAAAUGCCAACACCAGUAGACUGUGAAAACUUUAUGUAUAUGUAAAUAUUUAGAGCAACCACUAAAAAAUUUUACCAAGAGACACACCCAAAAAUACUCUAGAUAAAUCAAAACAAAAUUCUAGGCUGGGUGUGCUGGCUCACGCCUGUAAUCCCAUUGCUUUGGGAGGCCAAGGUGGGAGGAUCACUUGAGCCCAGGAGUUUGAGACCAGCCUGGGCAACGUGGUGAAAUUCCAUCUCUACAAAAAAUAGAAAAAUUAGCUGGUGUGGUAGCAUGUGCCUGUAGUUCCAGCUACUCUGGAGGCUGAAAUACAAAGAUUGCUUGAGCCCAGGAGUUCGAGCCUGCAGUGAACCGUGAUCAGGCCACUGCACUCCAGCCUGAGUGACAGAGUGAGAUGCUGUCUCAAAAAUAAAAAAUAAAAAUAAAAAAAAUAAAAAAAAAAUUUAAGCCACAGGGAGGUAGAAAAAAAUAGAAAAGCAAAAAAUAAAAUGGCAGAUUUAGCUCUGACAUAUCAAUGAGUACAUCAAAAAUAAAUGGUCUAAAUACAUCAAUUAAAAACUGUCAGCAUGGAAUAAAAUAUAAAAACUAUAUAUUGUCUUUAAGAAACUCACUUUGAAAAUAUAUAUAUAGGUAGGUUAAAAGUAAAAGUAUUAAAAACAUAUAUCAUGCAAAGCUUAAAAUAAAGCAAGAUGGGCUAUAUUAAUAUCAGAAAAGUAGACUUUUGAAAUAAAGAAAAUUAUAAGUGACAGAGAGGGACAUUAUGUAAUGAUAGAAGGAUAAAUAUAUCAAGCUCCAUAUAUCAAAACAUUACAUUGUACCCCAGAAAUAUAUACAACUAUUGUUUGCCCAUUAAAAAUAAAUUUAAAAAAGGAUAUCAAGGAAAUAUUAUGAAUAAUUCUUCACACAUCAAUACGAUAUCUCAAAAGACAUGGACCAGUUCCACAAAAAACACAAGCUACUACGUACGCACAAACAUAAACACAUAAUUUGAAUAGCCCUAUAACUAUUAAGAAAAUUGAAUUCAUAAUUUUAAAGUUUCCAAAAAAGAAAUCUGUUGGCUCAAAUGAUUUCACUAGAAAAUUCAAACAUUUAAAGAAGAAUUAAGCUGGUCGUAUGGUAAUGAGUUAUCAGAAUUUAUUAACAUUGAUGGCAUUAAAGUUGGUAUACAACCCCCCACUGCUAAAUUUGACUGAAAGAAAGAAGAAAAAAAAGAAGGAAGAGGAAGAAGGGAAGGAAAGAAAGAAGGACGGAAGGGAGGGAGGAAGGAAGGGAGGAAGGAAGGGAAGAAGGAAGGGAGGAAGGGAGGGAGGAGGAGGGGAGCAAUUCAUACAAUCUCUUCCAGAAAAUUGAAGAUGGAAGACUUUCCAAUUCAUUUUAUGAAACUAGUGUAGUAUUGCCCUGAUAUGAAAACCAGAAAAAAGACAGUACAAAGAAAACUACAGACU